AGAGUUUGAUCCUGGCUCAGAUUGAGCGCUGGCGGCAUGCCUUACACAUGCAAGUCGAACGGUAGAGUAGCAAUACUUGAGAGUGGCGAACGGGUGAGUAAUAUAUCGGAACGUGCCCAGUCGUGGGGGAUAACGUAGAGAAAUUUACGCUAAUACCGCAUACGAUCUAAGGAUGAAAGCGGGGGAUUCGCAAGAACCUCGCGCGAUUGGAGCGGCUGAUAUCAGAUUAGGUUGUUGGUGAGGUAAAAGCUCACCAAGCCGACGAUCUGUAGCUGGUUUGAGAGAACGACCAGCCACACUGGGACUGAGACACGGCCCAGACUCCUACGGGAGGCAGCAGUGGGGAAUUUUGGACAAUGGGCGAAAGCCUGAUCCAGCAAUGCCGCGUGUGGGAAGAAGGCCUUCGGGUUGUAAACCACUUUUGUACGGAACGAAACGGUUCGCUUUAAUACAGUGGGCUAAUGACGGUACCGUAAGAAUAAGCACCGGCUAACUACGUGCCAGCAGCCGCGGUAAUACGUAGGGUGCGAGCGUUAAUCGGAAUUACUGGGCGUAAAGCGUGCGCAGGCGGUUAUGUAAGACAGUUGUGAAAUCCCCGGGCUCAACCUGGGAAUUGCAUCUGUGACUGUAUAGCUAGAGUACGGUAGAGGGGGAUGGAAUUCCGCGUGUAGCAGUGAAAUGCGUAGAUAUGCGGAGGAACACCGAUGGCGAAGGCAAUCCCCUGGACCUGUACUGACGCUCAUGCACGAAAGCGUGGGGAGCAAACAGGAUUAGAUACCCUGGUAGUCCACGCCCUAAACGAUGUCAACUGGUUGUUGGGUGCAUUAGUACUCAGUAACGAAGCUAACGCGUGAAGUUGACCGCCU
RNAcentral lists this ribosomal RNA (866 nucleotides) under uncultured bacterium. RNAcentral describes it as "bacterial SSU rRNA". It matches the Rfam family "Bacterial small subunit ribosomal RNA", at positions 9 to 873 of the family's 1533-position model. The record is from RNAcentral.